GACGAACGCUGGCGGCGUGCCUAACACAUGCAAGUGGAGCGACGAACCAGGCUUCGGCCUGGGGCAAAGCCGCGAACGGGUGAGUAACACGUGGGUAACCUGCCCUGAUGAUUGGGACAACCCGAGGAAACUCGGGCUAAUACCGAAUGUGCCCUCCGGCCUCAAGGCCGCUGGGGAAAGGAAGCUUCGGCCUCCGCAUCGGGAUGGGCCCGCGGCCCAUUAGCUUGUUGGUGAGGUAACGGCUCACCAAGGCGACGAUGGGUAGCUGGUCUGAGAGGACGAUCAGCCACACUGGGACUGAGACACGGCCCAGACUCCUACGGGAGGCAGCAGUGGGGAAUCUUGCGCAAUGCGCGAAAG
This 360-nucleotide ribosomal RNA is filed under the name uncultured bacterium. RNAcentral's name for it is "bacterial SSU rRNA". It matches the Rfam family "Bacterial small subunit ribosomal RNA", at positions 28 to 381 of the family's 1533-position model. The record is from RNAcentral.